GUCCUUGUAGCUUACAACAAAGCAUGGCACUGAAGAUGCCAAGACGGUCGUCUGCACACCCAAGGACA
RNAcentral lists this transfer RNA (68 nucleotides) under Pelagodroma marina (white-faced storm-petrel). RNAcentral's name for it is "tRNA-Phe". The record is from RNAcentral. Lineage: Eukaryota; Metazoa; Chordata; Aves; Procellariiformes.